This 406-nucleotide ribosomal RNA is filed under the name uncultured bacterium. RNAcentral's name for it is "partial 16S ribosomal RNA". It matches the Rfam family "Bacterial small subunit ribosomal RNA", at positions 29 to 526 of the family's 1533-position model. The record is from RNAcentral.
AUUGAACGCUGGCGGCAGGCUUAACACAUGCAAGUCGAGCGCGCGGCGGACGGGUGAGUAAUGGCUGGGAAACUGACUGAUGGAGGGGGAUAACUACUGGAAACGGUAGCUAAAACCGCAUACCAGCAGAUGUGCCCAGAUGGGAUUAGCUAGUAGGGGGGGUAUUGGCUCACCAGGGCGACGAGGUCUAGCGGGUCUGAGAGGAUGAAAAGCCACACUGGAACUGAGACACGGUCCAGACUCCUACGGGAGGUACCAGUGGGGAAUAUUGCACAAUGGGCGCAAGUCUGAUGCAGCCAUGCCGCGUGUGUGAAGAAGGCCUUCGGGUUGUAAAGCACUUUCAGCGAGGAGGCGUUACUCGCAGAGGAAGCACCGGCUAACUCCGUGCCAGCAGCCGCGGUAAUUC